UAGGGAAUAUUGGACAAUGGGCGCAAGCCUGAUCCAGCCAUGCCGCGUGGGUGAUGAAGGCCCUAGGGUUGUAAAGCCCUUUCGGCGGGGAAGAUAAUGACGGUACCCGCAGAAGAAGCCCCGGCUAACUUCGUGCCAGCAGCCGCGGUAAUACAGAGGGUGCGAGCGUUAAUCGGAAUUACUGGGCGUAAAGCGCGCGUAGACGGUUUUGUAAGUCAGAUGUGAAAUCCCUGGGCUCAACCUGGGAACUGCAUUUGAUACUGCAUGGCUAGAGUAUGGAAGAGGGAAGUGGAAUUUCCGGUGUAGCGGUGAAAUGCGUAGAUAUCGGAAGGAACACCAGUGGCGAAAGCGACUUCCUGGUCCAAUACUGACGUUCAUGUGCGAAAGCGUGGGGAGCAAACAGGAUUAGAUACCCUGGUAGUCCACGCCAUAAACGAUGACAACUAGAUGUUGGGAGGGUCUGCCUCUCGGUGUCGCAGCUAACGCGUUAAGUUGUCCGCCUGGGGAGUACGGCCGCAAGGU
This 522-nucleotide ribosomal RNA is filed under the name uncultured bacterium. RNAcentral describes it as "bacterial SSU rRNA". It matches the Rfam family "Bacterial small subunit ribosomal RNA", at positions 355 to 894 of the family's 1533-position model. The record is from RNAcentral.